UGUGAAAUGUCCGUAAAGUAUCAUCACAUGAUUGGCUUUAGGGCACAUUUCCAACAAAUCUAGCGGGAGUCACCACAAGUGACCUAUACAGCACUACACUGCACACGAGUCAAAAUCACUGUAAAGGUCUGUACGACAAGAUUGGGUGUAAUAUAGUUAUGCUCAAUGCUACGCUCUCAUGAUAGCAGUGCGAUAAAUUGCUAGUCACCUACAAGUCAGAACCACCUAUAAUGGUCUGUACGACAAGACUGUGCACCUAAAUUGGAUCUAAUGUGAGCAUAUGGUGCGGGAGGUGACAUCAUAAAUAGGCUUGUACCAUA
This 320-nucleotide long non-coding RNA is filed under the name Malus domestica (apple). RNAcentral's name for it is "long non-coding RNA (MDOM_LNC012555)". The record is from RNAcentral. Lineage: Eukaryota; Viridiplantae; Streptophyta; Magnoliopsida; Rosales; Rosaceae.